GAAAAACGGUUAAGUUUUCCAUAUUCUGGUAGUUUUGACCUUUUUCACAGUGCGGCAAUUGGACUUGAAUCCUGAGUUCCAUUAGUAUUUAGAAUCAUCGACUUGACUCUCGAGUUUCAUUCGAAAAAGAGAAUGUGGUAACAGAACGAAAAUCAAGGACGAUUUAUGCAAAACACGUAAAUCAAAAAAAGAACGAAGACCGGGAAGGCAAUUUUUGUAACCUAGUAAGAAAAUAAUUACAAUAAAAAUAAAAAAAAUGGCGAAUUUUUGCAGAAUAAAUUAUUACCUUCUCCCCAUAAAACUGCAUUUCUUUUUCUUCUACGGGGGUGUAGCGACAGGAAGCUUUCUUGGCGGCAUAGGAUUUAACAAGCUGAGCGGACGCCACCCAUUCCUAGCUGCCGCUGCUGUCAGUUUUGUGUGCGUCCCAGUUCUUUUAACAGCACGUUUCCUUCUGCGAAAUCGUAUAAUAUCAUUCACCGAAGAUGAAAAACGUAACAUCGAAGCCACAACUCAGAAGAGAUAUGACGUCGAACCUCCUCCUGACGUCACGCCUCAAUUAUCUUGACGGUCUUUUGUAUCUUAGCACAUUAGAUCCAUUUCUGAAUGCAUCAUCCCACACAGCCACAAAUAUCCACAACACAUCUUUCAGAUAUCUCGUAGAUAAAAAAAAACUGGAUAUUGCCAUAUCCGUCAGAGAUAUCUGAGCAUGGUGCGUAGUGUUUUU
Parasteatoda tepidariorum (common house spider) is the source of this 724-nucleotide non-coding RNA. The record is from RefSeq and is a predicted model, not a curated record. NCBI's taxonomy places the organism in Eukaryota, Metazoa, Arthropoda, Arachnida, Araneae, Theridiidae.